RNAcentral lists this transfer RNA (76 nucleotides) under Tequintavirus T5. RNAcentral's name for it is "Escherichia virus T5 tRNA-Ile3". The record is from RNAcentral. Lineage: Duplodnaviria; Heunggongvirae; Uroviricota; Caudoviricetes; Demerecviridae.
GAUUAGCCUCUUUUAAUAAAGAAGUCGGUGUUGUACGAAUUAGGAUCGUAACAUUUCGGACAUGAAUUAGGAUAAU